CAGCUUGUUAAGUCCAAACUUACCUUCCCUGAUGCCAGUCUCCUUCCUGCUGUUUUUAUCAAGAGGUGCUUAGAAGUCAUCACUCCAGCCUAACAAGUAAAAAACUGAACGAACUGAAAAAUCAACAGCUCUUCUAAGAUCUGUCAGAGACUUGAGGCCAGAGGGCAAAUCACUGCCCCCAAAAUUGGAGAGACAGACAGGCAGACACAGAGAACCCCAACAUGAGCAGAAACUGCUGAACAGAAACUUCUGUUAGAACCCCUCCCCAGGUAGGAAGACUACAUUGUAAUUAAAGUAUGGCUGGAGGCUCAGUGUGGACAAGUCUGAAAAUGAAAAACUCCAGGAGAGCCAGUCACAGGAGGAGCCCUGCAUUUGUGAGCUUUAUCUCUGGGAACUGUACCAGAGGCCAGAGGAGAAAAACACCUUACUUAUAAAGGAGCAAAUAAAACAGUUACUUCUGAUUUCUCAGAAACCAUGCAAGCAAGAAGAAAGUGGAGUGAAAUGUUUAAAGUGCUGAGAGAAGAAAAUCACCAACCUAGAAUUCUGUACCCUGUGAAAUCAUCUUUCAAAAGUGAAGGAGAAAUAAAAGCUUUCUCAGAUAAACAAAAACUGAGAAAAUUUGUUGCCAGUGAUCUGCUCUGUAAGAAAUGUAAAACAAGUUCUUGAGAGAGAAGAAAAAUGACAUGGGUCAGAAACUCAGGUCUACAUAAAGAAAGAAAGAGCACUGGAGAAAGAGUAAGUAAAGUGUCUAUCAUGGUGCCUUCCGUAUGGUGGGAGCGAGAUAAACACUGGCUGCAUGAAGGAAUCGCCGUCACUCGCCGGAUGCCCCUCGUAGCGAGCCUCACUGAGGUCCGAUGCAGCCUCCUGAACGUGCUAAGCCUUUACCUUCUUCCCCAAGACUCUUCCUUCUGCUGUUCCAGUAUUCAAGAUAAAUGAGGUCAGCUGUAGACAAUAAUGUCAAGUGACUCCUAUUAUUUGCUCUUCUUUUGUACCCACUUUUGCCUACUAAGUGGGAGGAGGAAAUAGGGGUGCAGGCAGCUCAGGUCCUGAUGUUACAGUUUGCUUUUCCACCUCAGCCUUCACAGACUACAGGUACCAGCGCCCAAAGUCCCCUCCUUUUACCUGCUAACUAUUAACUGAGGGUGCACAGCACAAUCUUCAGAGGGUGGCGUCUGGACAGCUCCAAUUUUUCAGAGCUCCACUUC
This is a long non-coding RNA of Balaenoptera ricei (Rice's whale), 1205 nucleotides long. RefSeq lists it as uncharacterized. Lineage: Eukaryota; Metazoa; Chordata; Mammalia; Artiodactyla; Balaenopteridae. The record is from RefSeq and is a predicted model, not a curated record. The transcript is spliced from 3 exons.